This 7479-nucleotide ribosomal RNA is filed under the name Triticum aestivum (bread wheat). RNAcentral describes it as "partial small subunit ribosomal RNA". Lineage: Eukaryota; Viridiplantae; Streptophyta; Magnoliopsida; Poales; Poaceae. The record is from RNAcentral.
UAAAAACACAUUAUUUCAUCUCAUGAAUCAUUUUAAUGGUUGCCCAUUCCGACAAAUACUUUGGUUAUUUGACACUCGUUGUAUAUGACACUCUACUAUAAUCGUGUAAUGACGAAGGACGGAUAUAUACAUGUAAUCAUAAUCACGCCAGUUCCUUACUCUUUUUACCCAAUGAAGAGGCCCUCACUUUUAGCCCUUCCGACCGUAUAUAGGCGUCUUUUACCCAAUGACUGCCUGACGUUUAGAACAUGUCUGUAAUAAAAUUAGAACUUACUAAGUAUCAGAACAAGUUGACGUAGUAUGUGAACUGGCUCAUGUACUCUGUCUCCCUGUACGAAGUUUCAGGGAUCAUGUUAAAUAUCAAAAGGCAAGAGACCCAAUUCGUUGUUCUCGCUGUUGUGAGCAAGACGACGGACCAAACCAGAUGCAUAUGUAGGUUACAAACCUUCGAUGCAUGGCACACUCUGUACGUUGUGUCGGUAGGCGUUUAGUCAUACGUGUACCGAGGCUGUGCUUACUGCUGAACUGGGUAUCGACCUCGACUGGCAUUGAGAGUACGGAUGAGGGGUAGUUGGUACCGUACAAAGCGUCUGAAGGCACGGGUGCCAAUAAGAGAAGAAACUGUCUACACACGAGCUGAUAAAUUACACGACGGUUAUGAAGAGUCUUCUUAUUUUUGGUGUCGGUUAAGGUAGGUCGGAUCGAUUGAUCAGUACUUCUACCUAGGUGGUGGGUUUUACGAUCGGAGAGAGUGGUAGUGGUAUGACUACUACUACUACUACUACUACCGGUGGAGGUAGCGCGAACGUAGCCUACGUGGCCACGAGCCUCCUGUUCGUUCUCGCGAGGAGCUGACCUUUCGGUCGGAACUGUUGGUUUCGGUUUCUCGUGACGUGAGAACCCCGUUGUGCAGCUGCGGGACGUUAACCGCACCGUAGUGGACGCCAUGGCCACACGUGACCGUGGCCGAUCACUAGUUUCCGUAGAGAGACGCCCCCUACGCCGAUUCUCCCCGAGACCUCAGGGAGUUGAAGAGCCGGAACUCCUGGAACUGUGCGGAGCUGGAGAGUGUGUUGGAGGAACGACCCUCGUAAGGAGGAUCAUAGCUCUAGGAACCGCUCGAGGUACGAGAAGGAAGACGUUCCGUUGGUCUAUUCUCCGAGUUAGGGUGAUCCAGAUCCUUUAGAGUGUUUUAACGUAAGGAAUUACGAAGUGCUUUUACUUGAGAGGCCACUUUAUGAUUCAGUCUAUCCGUUGAACUCAUCAGAACAGUGGGAGUUGAACAGUUUGUUAGUGAACCAACCAGUAUAGGGAACACUCUAUCCUGUGUACUUCGUGAAUCAACGUAAUCUAAACAGGUCAUUACUAGAAAAACCAUUUUAUGGUUCGUCGUAUCCACCAAACUGGCUUGAGUGAUCGAACAUGGAAAUGCCAUUGGUUGAAAGAUCUGUUUAAGGUGCUCUUGAUCCAAUAGAAGACUUGAAUUUCCUGGACGUUGAACCGUAGUUGUGUGACAGCCCAAGGUAAGGUGCUUUAAAUGUAUUAAACUGGUUAGAGUGACACAAUUAAGAUCGCUCUUUGUUUGAAAGGCCCAAUUAAGGUGUUUUUUAUCUAAUGGAAAGCUUGAAUCUCAUGGACCUAGAACCACUGUUGUAUGAGAGUCCAAGGUAGGGUUUAUCGUAUCUUUUAAACUGGUUUGAGUGGCGCAACAUGUAAAAGUAGUUGGUUGAAAGACCUGUGUAGGGAGCUCUUGAUCCAGCGGAACACUUGAAUCACUUAGACCUAGAACCGUGAUUGCGGGAUUGACCAAGGUAGGGUUUAUCGUAUCCUUUAAACUGGUUUGAGUGUCGCAACAUGUAAAAGUAGUUGGUUGAAAGACCUGUGUAGGGAGCUCUUGAUCCAACGGAACACUUGAAUCUCGUCAACUACGAAUCGUUGUUGUGCGAUUGACCAAGGUAGGGUUUAUCGUAUCCUUUAAACUGGUUUGAGUGUAGGAAUAUGGAACUGUUGUUGGAUGAAAGAUCUGUGUAGGGAGCUCUUGAUCCAGCGGAACUCUUGAAUCUCGUCAACUACGAAUCGUUGUUGUGUGAUUGUCCAAAGUAGGGUUUAUUGUAUCCUUUAAACUGCUUUGAGUAUAAAAACAUGGAACUGUUAUUGGUUGAAAGAUCGGUUUAAGGUGCUCUUGAUCCAAUAAAUCAGUUGAAUCUGAGGAACCCCGAAUCGAUAUUGUGUGACUGUCUGAAGUAGGGUUUGUUGGAUCCGUUAGAGUGUCUUGAGCGAUCGAACAUGGAACUGUUAUUGGUUGAAAGGCCGGUGUAAGGGGUUCUUAAUCCAAUAAACCGGUUGAAUCUCACCAACAGAGAAUCUUUAUUACGUGAUUGUCCAGGGUAGGGUUUAUCGGAACCGUUAGACUGUCUUGAGUUUUCCAACAUGAAACCGAUCUUGGUUGAAAGGCCCGGUUAAGGUACUCCUUAUCGAACCAACAACUUAUAUCUCAUGAAAAUCUCGUAUCAUUGUUGUGUGAUUGUCUAAAUUAGUGUUUGUCGUAUCUGAUAGGACAUCUUAAUAGAAAGAAAGUGUUCUACCGGGGCAGGAGUAGGUGGGGAGAGGAGAGGGAGUGCCCUUGUUUGGAGGACGGCCUGGGGAGGAGGCGGAGGUACCACGACGACGUUUUCGAGGAGGAGGAGGCGCGAGCAGGAGUGGCGGCGGUGCCGGGUGCGGGAGCGGCGAACCAUUGAGCUGCGGUCGCACGAGUGGUCGCUGAUCCGGCGGCCGCCGGGAGCGGCAGAAGCUGACGCCGCGCUGGGGAGAGCGGACGCGGUGGCUGCAGCAGCCGCGCGAGAGGACGCUCCGGCGCCGGACCCGGCAGGGGCUUCGUGGGCGGCGGAGGUUCCUGUCCCGGCUGCAGCGGCGGCUGGAGUCCUCCCAGGAUGAGCCCAGGAGGUUGGCGUGCCGGUGGUCGCAGGGAUGCCGCCGGAGCAAGAGCUCCCACGGCCCCCGCCGCGCCCGAGUUACGAGGCCAUGACUUCGAGCCCUUGUCCCCACGGUGACCGGCACGUCGAACAUGCCAUGAUCCACGUCAGCCACACGUUGGGGGGUUCGAAGACAGGAUUUGACCUCAGGGAUGUGUGUCAUGUGCCGUUGUGCACCGAAACCCUUUUCCUAUGUCCUCUCUAUUAUUAUUGGAUAGCUUUCCUUCUAUGGCUCUUAAGAUGGUCACACUGAAGCUGUAACGACCUCAGAUGCUCGGUGACCUUGGUCUAAAGCUCCAAUAGUUUUGAGACUGUCUCAACGAUGUAUAUAUCCGAUCUAUGACCGUACAUACUCUAUUUUGAUUUAGUAUCUUCCAUGAGCUACCUUACGACCUCUAGAUGCCGAACGGAGGGCUCUUCAAGCUGUUUGACUGUAAGCUUCUGCACUUUUUUCUUGACCACCUUCUCUUCCCACAUGGUGUACUUUGUGACUUUUCUAACCUUCAAGUACCUCUUACGACCCAGACAACAACGGACCUGACCUUCUGAGACGAGUCGAAUAGGGGCCUAGGACGACGACAAAGAGGGUGGUCCGAACGCAAACGUUGAGUAAAGAUCGUGCGGAAGUAUUCGGAGGGCACGUUACGAGUCAAGCUUCUCGAGAGGCGCAUCCUAGAGAAGGACUGUAUGAGGGACUUGUCGCUAAUGGGGGACUGCGACGGCCAAAUGCCGCUGACCUUUUUCGGUCGGCUCAGGUUCCGCUAGUAUAAGGCCGCACCCAUAAGCUGACUCUCGGUUUUUCCGGUCGACAACUACUUCUUUGAACUAAUGGACGUCAUCUUUGACAACGUCUUAUAAAAGAAGUCGGAAAGGUUUGGGAACUACGUGGUUCCUCCUGUGAAACUACACGAUGACCGUCGAGUUUACCCGCUCCGCUGGCUCCUCCGGGACUACGGUGACCGGCACGUUGAACAUGCGCCAUCCGCGUGAGCUGUAAGUUGGAGAGUCGCGGCGAGCCCGUGACGGAGACGCGAUGACGACGUAUCACUAGUACGAUGACUGCCUUUCCCGUGACGAAGAAGCGCACCUAAGACGUCACCAAUGGGUUCGAUAGCAAACGAGGGUCAACAGGAUUUGACCUCGGGGAUGUCAUGUACCACUUCACUUCUUUCGAUACUUCUCGUCACUUACUUAGUCGCUCCUUCUCUAACGGAUUUCAAGGGUUCCCUUGUGCACUGAAACCCCCUCUAGUAGUUUACCGGUAUUCCGCCGUACGUGAAAGUCAUUAUUGUCAACAUGAUGAGGGAGGCAGAGAUUUAUGAACAGAAAGAUCCGUAAAGUUUACUUAUAGUGUAUGCCUACAUACAUCUGUAUAAAAUCUCACAUCUAAGUGAGUAAAAUGAGGCAUACAUCAGUGAACAACUUUACGGAUCUUUCUGUUCAUAAAUCCUUGCCUCCCUCAUAAACUCUACGUGCCACAACGACUUUAACUAUGUGGACGUAAACUCAACUCUCUUUGGGAAUGCCCGUUUAUGCUGGAACGACUAGUCUAGGUUAACAUUUCGAUCGUAUCAAAAAAAAAAGAAAAAAACUUUGGACUUCCACCGUAGGUCUCUUUUGAUGAAAGUCUUGUUGGCUAGUAAAGAGAGCAAAAAUCUAAUGAAUUAGCUCAAGUCGGAGGUUGAAUAAAGUAAGUACAGAAGACAUGACUACUCGCCAUUACUCUUAUUGGUUUCUAUACUGUUCCAAAAAGACAUGACAAGUUUAGGUGGACAGUACUACAUAAGGCAAGGGCGACGUGAAUGUCCGAAACUUAAACCUACGACAUUCUUUGAAGCCUAAUCCAUUAAUCAACAAAGGAAUCGUAACAAGCUGGAGAUGUUUCUAGAGUCUGUUCUGGACGGUGACGGACAAGUCAUAAGUAACGCUUAGAAGUCCUAUAGACAUAUAUCCUCCGAUGUACUAGAGACAUCGACACUAUUGAUAAAGCACCAGACAUGAAUCAAUCGACGUAAAGAACACUCAACAACAUUCUAUCCCCUGGUGUGCAUAUGUUGGCAUAUAGAUAUGUUUAUGUUAUGCCAAUAUGUUGGCAUAUAGAUAUGUUUAUGUUAUGCCAAUAUGUUGGUAUAUAGAUAUGUUUAUGUUAUGCCAAUAUAUAAGAUUGUCAACACUGUGAAUUGUGUAACACUACCACAUAUCCUACUAUAAGUCAGUUGACAAAACUUUCCCCGACAUGAGCAUCAAACUAGAUAUAAUUUCACACACGUGAUUAUAAGAUUUUACUACACAAAGAAAGGUAAACAAAUACAAAAAAGUCUCACACUUGUUGGAAGUUGCCUAUCAUCUGUUCUGACUUGAACAACAAAAAAGGACGUGUUUCCAUUGACCAUUUAUUCCACAACGUCAUGAACAGACAUAGACAUACGCCACCGUAGGGACAGGUACUCUAUCUUAGCUCACCUCAGUGGCGCCGAACUAGACAUUCACAACCAGGUCAUACAUGGAUCACAGGGAGGGGAGGGGUGGGGAUUGGGAUUGGCGCGGCGGUCGGCGGGGAGGGGCGAGGAGGGGGCGAAGCGGCGGCGGCCUCUCCUGUGGCCGCUUCGGGCGCACCAGGGACGCCUUCCACCGCCGCCCCGCAGGAGCGGCAAGAGCGCGUCUAGAGCGCCGUCGGCUACCGCGCGCCGCCACAAGGCGGCCCCCGACCGCGGACGACGGGCACUCCGCCGCAGGGAGUGCCGCCGCCCCGACGGGGACUUGCCGCGAACCACCACCGGUGCACCGCCGCACGCCCACCCGGCUUAGACCCGAAGCCAGACGCAGGAGCAGCACCGUCGCGAACGGCAACGGGAGCCGAUACUCCGCACCAGGCCCUGCCCGGAUCGCGGCCACCACGACCGAUCCUGCGUGCGACCGUCGCGGGAUGAAGUAGAGCACAGCGUAGCAACCGGUUACCACCACCAGUAGAAGAAGCAGUUUCUACCGGCCGGUCUCCGAACCACUAGCCUAGAGCUCUAGGUAGUAAAUCAGGGCCGACGCUCAACCCCUCUGUAACAACGGCCACUUUUGGCUCGGCAACCGUCCGCUACCGCCGCAAGAUGUGCGGCAAUGGAACUACCUCCGUAACAGCACAUUGAUGACAGUUGGGUGAGCACGACGAGACCCCCUUUGGGAUCCUAGACCACAAGGUCUAGCCUUCUACCGCUGUGACGCCACAGCAAAGAGAGAACCCUCGUAGCAAACACCUCGUUGCGACCUUCAGUCUCCGUCCUCCACCUCGCCGAAGCAGAACGUGCCUCGAAGCCACCUCUACAGUUCAGUACGGACGGGCUGUCCACGAUGCGAAACAGUACGGACUAGCCGUCCACGAUGCGUGCUGUCUAGAAAGUUUCUGAAGUUCGACACAGCCGACCACCAUAAACCGUCGUACCACGACUCCACAUAGUCACCGCUGGCGCUGCACGUGUCGACAAACGCACGUCCUUCCUCCACGGCAACCCGCGACACCACCACAGCUACUAUCGAUCUGGCUGGUUCCAACUACGUAGUCAUGUCAAGACUUCUACCUCGCCACCGUCAACCGCCGCCGCCGGAGACUCUCGUGCGGCCUGGCCGCUCUGGGUACGGGCCGUCCGUAGGACCUACCCAGGAGUCCAGAAUCUACAAUCCAAACCGACGCUACAGAUAAACCAUAAUCCGGGUUCGAUAGACGCGAGGAAGUAGUUGACCUAUCCACAUCGCUGUCAAACAACGAAUCUGCCGCCGAAAUCAGAAUGACACCAUAAUGAAACAUUCCAGAACACUCUUAUUAAUUAUUUCACCGGCAUACGUAGCGGGUCUACGUCUCCGGCCCCCAGUAGGAAGAAAAUUUUUUUUUUCAUACGUCGCUUAUAGCUUAUAGAUGAUAAUGUCAGAUGGCACAUAAACUAUCUCCUAUCUAUCGUCUGAGGUAAUCACAUUACUCCCCGUCGUAGAGGCAGACAGGGGUUCUUCUCAGCUGGGUUGCGGACUUUGGACUUCGAUCUCCGUUCAUAAGUCUCAACUCUUUUGUCUCCUUUUCGUCUCCUUCGCCCGGUCUCCAUACAUUUACGUAGUGCCGAGAGACUAUUAACGUCCGACCUCGUAACUCAUAAGUUAGGUCCGGGAACCGAGUUUUCUGUCGUAAUAGAGGGCAGUGUUGAGUUGAUGUACUCUUCUACCGUGUGUCUAUUAUUAUUUAAGGUUGACAGAAUUUAAGAAAGUUACGAUAGAAUAACUGCAGCGAUCAUCUUGGCUCCAUUUCAAACCUUCCUCGAGGAAGGCAAGCUUUUAUGAACAGUAGUUUUACCUGUUUUUCUCUACAUAGAUCUUGAUUUUAUGUAGAUCUAUGUAGGAGAAAAUAAAUAAAACUACUGUUGAUAAAGGCCUGCCUCCCUCAUUAUAAGAACUCCAUUUAUUUAGAUGACUCCACUAUAAGCCUUCGCGGUCACCUAUAUCACAGAAAUAUCGAUCUCCUCUUCAUACC